Molecule: long non-coding RNA, 5323 nt
Filed under: Sorghum bicolor (sorghum)
Lineage: Eukaryota; Viridiplantae; Streptophyta; Magnoliopsida; Poales; Poaceae
Description: long non-coding RNA (SBIC_LNC010148)
Rfam family: Plant small nucleolar RNA R71 (bases 2220-2326)
Source: RNAcentral
UAUUGCUAUCUCUCCUCCUCUUUGAUCUUUGCUUUGAGAGAACAUGGGCUAUCUCUUUUUUUUCAGGUGGGUAGUAGAUACCCCUAAUUCUACUGUCGGACACUUGUCCAUUUUUUCCGCUCAAGUGGGCAUCUUUGUACCCCUAAUUCUACUCCGGACACUUGUCCAUUUUUACCUCUCGUCUCACUCUUUUUAUUUCUUUUUCGAGGUUCCGGGCACUUUCCCCUUUUUAUUUCCUCGCAUAUUUUUGCAUAACGCAUGCCUCUUCUGUAUUGAAUAUUUUUAGAGAGAGAGAAUAACAACACUUGGGACAGUGAGUGAUAACAUUUUUUAACAAUUUUAUUGAAUGGUGGAUGAUGUAGUGGAUGUGUGCAAGUGAAUAUCUUAAUUUAACCACAUGAAAAGCUCCUAAGGGUCUACACAGCUCGAUCAAACUCAAUGUGAAUAUAGUAAAAGAUGUUAUAGGAAGUAUGGCUGUGGUAGGUAGUUUGUAAUGCUAGGAACUCAUCAUGUGAUUUGUAAGUUUUCAAAAUAAAUCUCCAGAACUUAGUGUAGUAGGAACAAGAUAAACAGUAGCUCAAACUUUAUAUCAUGCCUUUCUCUUACCUAGACUUUAGUUUUAUGCUUCCCAUAGAUAGUAAGUUUUAGUAAUUCCUAGAAGAACUCUAAUAUAAAAGCUAGGUACUUGUAAGAAAGCAAACAGAGCAACUGUUCAUUAUUUCCAUCGUACAUCUUUUUGGUCUCUUUAUUUUUCUAAAGAUUAACACUUAGUAGGGAAAAUAAAGCACACUUAUCUACACACUCUUUUUAUUUUGUUUUCAUGUUUAUAGAAUGCAGUAAUUUAAAGCAAAAAAAUAUUUAUUGGGUUUUCUAAGUUUUUCUUUCUAAAAUAAAAUACUAAAAUAGAAAAGAAUAUUUAAGAAGAGCAAAUAAAAACUUACUUGAUAAAUUUGGGAGGAGCUCCCCCAAGAUGGAUGUUGAUAUCGGUCUUACCCGAUGUUCCAGAACCGCAUCAUGGUUGUGAUGUUGUCGUUCAUUGUUGUUGUAUCUUGUCUCAGCUCUUGUACUGCAGUGGCGUGGUCCUGGUUCCAUUUCUGUUGUUGUUCCAGGAGUUGUCCAUGUUCUACUUGCGUGUUCUGGAUGUCGAGGAGAGUGUUGUCGGUGCGGUUGAAGAAAGCGCUGGCCUCUUGGUAGUAGUCAUUCGUGAAAGCGUAGGAGGCGUUGGAGUAUCGUCCUGCAUCGAAUUGGGACGGAGGCCUGGAUCCUGAAGCUCCAUAAGGAUCAGUGGAGUACCUGCCCGUUUGGAAAGGCGGGUUUGUCCACUGGUGAUCAAAGCAGACGUACCUUUAUGGCAUCAAGCAGAGGUAUGUUGACAUAUAAUUUCUGAAUGACCUCUACAAACUUACCAAACUGCUCGUCCGACUGCAGUCCUCUGUUUCUUCUGGGAAAUGGCAAAUAGUUGGUGUCGUAAAAAUCUUUCCUCAUUUCUCCAGUUCUUGGUGGUUGUAGCAGAUCUUCUGCUUCAACUGGUCUUUCCUCUUCUAUCACUGCUGGUUGCACUGGUGCUGAUGUUCUUUGUUUCUCUUUUGGGUAUGGGGGAUCCCUGGUGGCUUUGCCUCCUCUAGUAGUUAUAUUCUUUACCUGCUCAAUGUUAGUAGCAACAGGCAGUGCAGCAGCUAACUUUAUUAAUUUAAGCUCUACCCUUUUAUUAAGAGUGUUUUGCUCAUCAAAGGCAGUUAAUAGAAAGUCCAUUUUAUUGUGUAUAUCUUUUAGAGAUGAUUCAUUUGUAUCUAGCCUUUGUUUAACUUCAUCAUUAAUUUUGGUUUGUUGAGCAAUUAUCUCUUUUAAUGAAAGUUGCUUGAAAGUAUUACCUGAAUUCAUACCUUUGCCAUUGGGUUGACUCGAGGUUGGUUGAUAUUUGUGUGCUUUCUCAAUGGCCCUUUGAUCUUCUUUGAACUUGGCCCUCUAGUCAAUCCAAUGGAGCAAAUUUUCCAUCUUGGUUGAUAGUGCAUUUACUUCUUGUGGUAUUUCUUCAGUUUGAUGACAUUGUUGAGCUUCAUCUUGGAACCAGCUUUGAUUUUCUGCUAUCUUAUCCAAAAGUAUUUCUGCUUUUCCAAUUGUAAGAUCCAAGAAUGAUCCUUUAGCAGAUGCAUCUAGGCACUCACGAGCCUUCUGGGUUAAUCCAUGGUAGAAGGUCUGCAUAAGUAACCAUGUGGCCAUUCCAUGGUGAGGACAAUCUAAAAUGUAUCCUUAAAAACGCUCCCAUGCUUCUGAAAUGGUUUCUGUCUUCUGCUGUUGGAAACUGACAAUAUUUCCUCUUAAGGCAGUUGUUUUGCCUAUAGGGAAAAACUUUGAUAGAAAGGCAUCUGACAAGUUCGUCCAGUUAUUGAUGUUAUCUUGAUGAGUGUAGAACCACUUCCUCGCUUUCCCUUCUAGUGAGAAUGGAAAAAGGCGAAGCAGUAUGACGUCUUUGUCGACUCCAUUGAUGUGGAUUGUGCUUCCAAUUUCUAAGAAAUUCUGCAAGUGUGCACUAGCAUCUUCAUGUGCCUUUCCACUGAUUUGUGUAGCUUGUACCAAAUUGAUGAGGCUUGACUUGAGCUCGAACUUGGGUGCUCCUUCUUCUACUAAAAAUAUUGGAAAAGUUGGAAUGUUCUCAAGAAUUGGAGCAGAGAAUUCUUGUAGGGUCUUCUGUGCCAUAGCUUCAGCAAUUGGUAGCUAGCUUCUUCUUUCUUUCUUGAUUGCUUUGGUUCUGAUGAUGAAGAGUUGAAUGUACCCAAAGUCAAUCCUGAUAUACCCUGUAUAAAAAUAUAAACAUAGAAAAACAACAGGGUGAACCUGCCAAAGCAGAGGUGCCUUGUUAUGAUUUCUCACUUUGUAGCUGUUUUAUGCAAUUAUUUCUCUAUAGUCUAGUCUAAUAUUUUAUGUGAAUAACCCUGACUGAUUUCCUGACUUUCCUUACUGUUCCUAUAUGUUACCCUUUUGUUCCCCGGCAACGGCGCUAGAAAUGCUUGUUGACACUAGCUAACACCACUUGAAUACUAGGUUGUCAUCCCCAGCAUGGUACCAGAGUGUACAAAGGUAUUUAUAAAUGUAAAGGCUCUCUAGAAAAUAAUCUAUUCUAUCUGCAAGCGCACAGAUAAAACACCUCAUUGUAGCAUUUCACCAGGAUAAGUAUUCCAGGUAUCGUUAUUUAUAAUUUUGCUUAAGAGAACAAAAGGGAUGAAAUUUAAAUAAGGGCAAAAUCUAUCAAGGCAUAUACUAGAGAUAAACUUGCAAGAACAUGAUUACUAAUGAGAAACUCGUCACACAGUCACUUACUUUGGCAGGGGGUAAACCAUAAAGAUAAUGAUAAUGAAUUAUAAGUUCAAGGGUAAAUAACACAGCGAUUAGAAAAUAGACUACAUCUCAUAUAUGUAGGUGACGUCGGAUUUGCUAGAGAAUGGAUUCUAAGUUAUCUACUAUCUACUAAGUCAUAAUCUACUCUAGUUAUCUACAAGAUCAUGUAUAGCAUAAAAGACUCUUCAUUCAUGUAUAAGGAACAUUGCUAAAGUAAAUCAGAGCAUCGCAAGUUUUACUCCACAAUACCGGUUCUGCCUGUCCUGUCAACGGAGGGUGGACUAUAUAAGAAUCAACGAAGCUGUCACUAUCGCGAACUACCACACGACCCGGCCAAUAGGAUACAUUUGUAGGUAAACAUCAUCUAAGAACCACGCCCACAUGUGAUCUACCACUUAACUCCCUCGCGUCAAGAGCUAAGCGCUUUGCAGACUUAUACAUAAACUCAUUAUCAAUCAUAACUAUAUCAAAUAUAGAACUAGAGCAAACUAAGAACAUAAUAAUUAGAGACAUAAUGCAAUUAGAACAAAGAAUUAGAGAAAGAUAUGAAUAAUACCAAUCUUUAUUACCGAAGAUCCGAAUCCAGAGCGUAGUGCUCUACUUCUCUAAUUGCUAUCUAAUCAAACCUCUAAACUUGAAGGAUUAGGGAGUAGCUAAUUCUAAUUCUCUGUGGGAGAGAAGCUCUAAACCCUAACUUUGAUGGCUACCUCUGAUAAUGAUUUCUUCUCUUCUCCUCUCUUCCCCAGGGGUGGAGAGGCCUUGAUUAUAUAGUCCUUUCAAGUAAAUUUGGGCCGUCGGAUCAAACCGACCUUGAUUGCAUGGUUUAGAUUCAUCCUCAAAGGCGGUGGAGCGUAGUCCCGAAAGAUAGUCCUGAUCCAACUCUAACAGGGGGCGGGCGCCCAGGUCAACUGGGCGGGCGCCCAGUGCCUGGCCCUGUUCGGCCUCCGCUUCCUUCCCGUGGCUUCUGGAGUCUUCUAGAUUGAGGAAAAUUGCGCGGCACGUAAUUACCUCGUUGUAAACAUGACAUGUGGGCGUUCUCUCCAUAUUUUCUGAUAACCCCCUGCAGAAAUAGAUAAACACCAAAGCUCGUGGAAUUCUGUCAGAUAAAACCCUAAUUCUAGAUGUUUGGUGCAUAUUGAUCCUUUUCCAUGUUUAUUGGAUUAUUAAUUUUAGUACUUAAGGACCGUCAACAAACUCCCCCAAGCUUACCCUUUUCUCGUCCCUGAGCAAACAGCUAAACUCAGAUGGAUCAGGAGUUGCUUUGAUGUUUUCUUUCCUGACAAGCACACAUGCUUUCAUAUAAAAUUCUUCCAGAUUAGAGUGAAGUGUUAUGGAGCUUAGUACCUGCACUUAAGUCUUAAGUAAUUGAAAGACAAAAUAAUUAAGUCAAGCACUAUUCCUCCUGUCUAUACUUCACAUUUGUUCCACAGUUUUUCAUAAGUUUUCAAAAUAAAACUCAGAGUUUCAAGCAAUGAUUCUCUCAAGUCUCUCUAUAUGUGGUAUUUGUGGAUCCUUACCAAAAUGUCACUUACCUAUAGCUAAUGGAAUAUUUAAGUGGAGCUCAUAGGAGUGAAAAACAGCUCGUACAUAUGUUGUCUAAUCGAGCCAUGGAUACAAAGGAACUCAGCAUAUAAUUAAAUUAAGAUGUGCAUGUGUGGUGGAGUAAAUGAUAGUGAUGGUAAAAAUGUAUAAGUGAUAAUAAAACUUACUUCUCAUUGCUCCUCAUAUUGCUAUCUCUCCUCCUCUUUGAUCUUUGCUUUGAGAGAACAUGGGCUAUCUCUUUUUUUUUCAGGUGGGUAGUAGAUACCCCUAAUUCUACUGUCGGACACUUGUCCAUUUUUUCUGCUCAAGUGGGCAUCUUUGUACCCCUAAUUCUACUCCGGACACUUGUCCAUUUUUACCUCUCGUCUCACUCUUUUUCUUUCUUUUUCGAGGUUCCGGGCACUUGUCCCUUUUUAUUUCCUCGCAUAUUUUUGCAUAACCCAUG